CAGUCGCCGCGGUAAUACAGAGGGUGCGAGCGUUAAUCGGAUUUACUGGGCGUAAAGCGUGCGUAGGCGGCUUCUUAAGUCGGAUGUGAAAUCCCUGAGCUUAACUUAGGAAUUGCAUUCGAUACUGGGAAGCUAGAGUAUGGGAGAGGAUGGUAGAAUUCCAGGUGUAGCGGCGAAAUGCGUAGAGAUCUGGAGGAAUACCGAUGGCGAAGGCAGCCAUCUGGCCUAAUACUGACGCUGAGGUACGAAAGCAUGGGGAGCAAACAGGAUUAGAUACCCCUGUAGUCCCUGUCUCUUAUAC
Molecule: ribosomal RNA, 301 nt
Filed under: uncultured bacterium
Lineage: Bacteria
Description: partial 16S ribosomal RNA
Rfam family: Bacterial small subunit ribosomal RNA
Source: RNAcentral